GUACAAACACCAAUACAUGAUCCACAAGAUAAAGCCAGAGUUUUCAGAUAGGAGUCCAUAGUCUCGAAAACAUUCUGACCUGUUACGAUUUUUCUGAGUUCUUUGCAAGAGAAGCAUUGCAAUAUUAAAA
Gavialis gangeticus (Gharial) is the source of this 130-nucleotide long non-coding RNA. RefSeq lists it as uncharacterized. The transcript is spliced from 3 exons. The record is from RefSeq and is a predicted model, not a curated record. NCBI's taxonomy places the organism in Eukaryota, Metazoa, Chordata, Crocodylia, Gavialidae.